UCCAAAUCAAUACAGCGGUGACAGAAACAUCAGAGUACGUCAUGCGAAAAACACACACAUGUUUUUCUGGAGUGUUUACCUCGUGAACACCUGGCGCUAUGUUCUACCUGGAAGCUUUUCCAAACCCUCCGACGGAAAGUGCAGCUACGCGGCCACCUAGCCAGGCGGACGUGAUCUCUCACCACCUAAAUCUCAACUCUGGAGCUAAUGAUGCCAAGAAUUGCUCACAACUAGCCCAUCAAAUAAAAGAAGAGAGAGACAAAGAGCAGAACGCCAGUGUGGGGAGGUGUGCUGUGGCCUUUCAUCUGAUGUGAAAGAAAGACAGAUGGCAGAAGCUUCAUCUGCUUCAUCCUCCAUGAGUUAGCUCUGGCUGAAGGCUGAUAACCAAACUUGAGGUGCCUGCAUCGUUC
Molecule: non-coding RNA, 410 nt
Organism: Electrophorus electricus (electric eel)
Lineage: Eukaryota; Metazoa; Chordata; Actinopteri; Gymnotiformes; Gymnotidae
Source: RefSeq, a predicted model, not a curated record